Molecule: ribosomal RNA, 253 nt
Filed under: uncultured Spartobacteria bacterium
Lineage: Bacteria; Pseudomonadati; Verrucomicrobiota; Spartobacteria
Description: partial 16S ribosomal RNA
Rfam family: Bacterial small subunit ribosomal RNA
Source: RNAcentral
UACAGAGGUCCCGAGCGUUGUUCGGAUUCAUUGGGCGUAAAGGGUGCGUAGGCGGCAUGGCAAGUCGGGUGUGAAAUCCCGGGGCUCAACCCCGGAACUGCACUCGAUACUGUCGUGCUAGAGUGUUGGAGAGGAGACUGGAAUUUACGGUGUAGCAGUGAAAUGCGUAGAUAUCGUAAGGAAGACCGGUGGCGAAAGCUAGUCUCUGGACAACUACUGACGCUGAGGCACGAAGGCCAGGGGAGCAAACGGG